Molecule: long non-coding RNA, 2617 nt
Filed under: Mus musculus (house mouse)
Lineage: Eukaryota; Metazoa; Chordata; Mammalia; Rodentia; Muridae
Description: long non-coding RNA chr18:74286107-74288724
Source: RNAcentral
GGAUAUCUGGUAAUUCUGACACCAACGUUCUAAAUGUAAUUCAUCAGAAUGAAUCUACCUUGUGCCUUAAGGACUUGUUACUAUGAAUUAACACCAACAUACCACAACUUAACCAAGGAUGACUGGGUAAAACAGGAAGCUCAAGACUGUUGGUUUUGUGGUGGCGCCAGGAUGCACAGACACUGAGUCAUUAAGGCCACCCAGAAACACUUGCCCACUCAUUCAUAGGGAGAGGCUAAUUGUGGAAGGAUGCUAGGAAUCCAAAAAUGAUAAAGAUACAGUCGAUGAGAUUUCAUUUAGUGCGUUGAUAUAUUUUCAAAAUGUACAUGCAUACCCUUCCAGCUGUUUUGCCCAGGCCCUGCAGAUCAGCAGAGACCACCAGGUGUUCAACUUGUAUAUCAAAGCAAAGAGCCUUUAUUCAAGCUGGAGUUCGGACCUCUCCAAUCUCUCCUAUGCAGUCGAUGGGUGUGGAAGGCCCCGUGUCAGUAAAGCCUUGUCUAUUUAUUACAAUUUCAGCAGGGUAAGAGGCUUUCCAAUUUGGUAGUUACAUGAUUGGUUGACAUUUGAAGGUUACACCUUGGUGCAUUUCUGUUGGCUAGUAAUGAUUUCAAUUUGGGAUGAACACUAGCGGCUUGCUUACGCAAUCUAUUUUGAGACAUAGAAUGGAAUAUUAGGUACGUUACCCCUAAGAGCUGAUCGGCUGUUCCUAGUGGUAGAGUAGCUGUUUGUUAGAGGAGUUGUGGCAGUUGCUAGGUGUGUCAUGGUUCCUGGAACAAGUUGUGUGUGUGUGUGUGUUUUCCUUCUCGUAACUGAGUUCACACUAAGGACUAGCUUAACAUAAGAUGGAGUCUGAAUGUUAGGCUGGGCCCUUUACAACUUUUAUUUUUUGAGUGGCCAUUGAGUGGCAAACAAUACAUAUAAAGAAACGGAAAUUGUUGAGGUCUUGGAAUCACUGCACAAACCGCUCAGGCACCAAUCUCAGUCAAACAGGGCUGGUUUAUUGAAAGCGCAUGCCAAGACUGGUUGAUCAGGGAGGCAGCAUAGACUCAGGAACUAGAAUGUUCCUCAGGGCCAGUUUAUAAAGGCAAAAAACAGGUACAGGAAGGACUGCCUGGAGGUCAUCUCUGACUCAAGCCAGCUAGACAGAAUAGUUCUAACUGAUGUUUAUUCUGAUUGAUCCUAAGUGGAUUUUAUGGUUGUGGAAUUUCUUAAGAUUAAUAAAGCUCAGAACCUACAAAACAUAACGGAGUGGUCAGCAUGAUCCUGCUCUGAAUCAAGUUAUUUUUCUGCACCAAUAACAAUAUAAAACUGAGAUAUCAAAUCUUUUAAAUUCAGACUCCAUUUUAGAGACCCUGACCUAAGUUUGAAUUUAGGUAAACUAACAGGCUGGUACCUAGCAUUAGUUUCCAAGUCUCCCCGCUCCCCAGCCCCAAAACUGUAGCCUAGCUCCAGUCUCUAGGCUAAUCCCCAACAAGACCAGCGUCUCCAGGUUGCACCCUGAACAAACCUGUACCCCCAGGUUACAAGCUGAUCUCUUGCCUGACAACCACCAAUGCAGAGGGGAGCAGAAAUUAAGUUUAUGAUAUGACUCCCAGCACCAGCCGAUUAUGUUAAAGGCCACAGUAGCUCUCCAAUUAGAUGUACUCCCUGCUUGCUGCUUACUAUAAAGCCUUGCCCUGAUAGACAUUCAGGGCUCCCUGACCACCAAAACCAUCCCUCGAGAGGGUGGUAUGUUGGGGGUGGGGGCGAGCUAGCUCAAAUAGAAUAAAGACUCUACUGUGAGUUACAUCAGAUUGACUCCCAUCUGUGUUUUUGGGGAUCACUAACAUUUCCCUGGCAGUACAAAAUGACUGGCAAACAUGGAACAAAAUGCCUACAGCUAUACUGGGGGAGCAGGCUUCAACAGGUCUGUGAAGGGCCCAGCUUAACAUUAUAAACUCAAUUUUGCUUUCAGAUCCAUUUUGUGAUUAGCUUGCCCCCUGAGUGAACUCAGCUACUGGAAAACCCCCAACUUUUUCUAAGAACCAUGUUGCCCUGGCAACCAUCAUAAUUCCCCUGAGCAAAUAGCCACUCUACCUCUAGCAUCAACCAAUCAGUACCUAAUGUCUUAAAGUAGAUUGAUUAAGCUAGUGACCAUUGUUCAUACCAAGCCAAAAUCAUUACUAGCCAAUAGAAGUGUGCCAAGAAAAUGUCAACCAAUCAUAUAACUGCCAAGUUGGAAAGUCCCUCAGCCUGGUAUAGCAACCAUGAUAAAUGGGCAAGGCUUGUACCAGCACAGCACCUUCCACACUUUCCACUGUGCUGGAGAGCUGGGAAGGUCCAAGCCCAAGCUUGAAUAAAGACUCUCUGCUUUUGCAUCUGAGUUGGACUCCUAGUGGGCCCUGGUGGUCUGUGGGAACCUCGUGAUCUGGGCAUAACAGACUGUCUUUUUGAAACACUUUGGUCGUGGCACUCGUGUCUCUGGUUGAUCAAAUCAUUUCUAGAAUCCUGCCUUUCAAGUUUGUUUGCUUAUUUAUAGUAGUUCUUUGAGUGUUUCCAGUUUCUUUCCUGUUUUGCUUGUAGUCACUGUUAUAGGAUAUUUGAUCACACUGUGAACCCCAGGAUUGUGUUAUUUAUC